Molecule: ribosomal RNA, 328 nt
Filed under: uncultured bacterium
Lineage: Bacteria
Description: bacterial SSU rRNA
Rfam family: Bacterial small subunit ribosomal RNA
Source: RNAcentral
CGUGUAGGCGGUGCGGUAAGUUGGGCGUGAAAUCCCCGAGCUUAACUCGGGUGGACCGUUCAAGACUGCCGUGCUAGGGUGCGGGAGAGGGAAGUGGAAUUUCCGGUGUAGCGGUGAAAUGCGUAGAUAUCGGGAGGAACACCUGCGGCGAAGGCGGCUUCCUGGACCGUAACCGACGCUGAGGCGCGAAAGCUAGGGGAGCAAACAGGAUUAGAUACCCUGGUAGUCCUAGCCCUAAACGAUGAGCACUGGGUGUGGCCCCUCACGGGGCCGUGCCGAAGCUAACGCAUUAAGUGCUCCGCCUGGGGAGUACGGUCGCAAGGCUGAA